CCUACGGGCGGCAGCAGUGAGGAAUAUUGGUCAAUGGGCGGAAGCCUGAACCAGCCAAGUAGCGUGCAGGAUGACGUCCCUACGGGUUGUAAACUGCAUCUAUACGGGAAUAACGCGCCUUACGUGUAGGGCUUUGCAUGUACCGUAUGAAUAAGGACCGGCUAAUUCCGUGCCAGCAGCCGCGGUAAUACGGAAGGUCCGGGCGUUAUCCGGAUUUAUUGGGUUUAAAGGGAGCGUAGGCCGCAUGUCAAGCGUGCUGUGAAAUGUCCGGGCUCAACCCGGGCCUUGCAGCGCGAACUGGCGGGCUUGAGUCCGCGGAAAGCAGGCGGAAAUCGUCGUGUAGCGGUGAAAUGCUUAGAUAUGACGAAGAACCCCGGUGGCGAAGGCAGCCUGCUGCAGUGGAACUGACGCUGAAGCUCGAAAGCGCGGGUAUCGAACAGGAUUAGAUACCCUUGUAGUC
This 460-nucleotide ribosomal RNA is filed under the name uncultured bacterium. RNAcentral describes it as "partial 16S ribosomal RNA". It matches the Rfam family "Bacterial small subunit ribosomal RNA", at positions 338 to 795 of the family's 1533-position model. The record is from RNAcentral.